RNAcentral lists this ribosomal RNA (421 nucleotides) under Lactiplantibacillus plantarum. Its description in RNAcentral is "bacterial SSU rRNA". It matches the Rfam family "Bacterial small subunit ribosomal RNA", at positions 60 to 453 of the family's 1533-position model. Lineage: Bacteria; Bacillati; Bacillota; Bacilli; Lactobacillales; Lactobacillaceae. The record is from RNAcentral.
AGUCGAACGAACUCUGGUAUUGAUUGGUGCUUGCAUCAUGAUUUACAUUUGAGUGAGUGGCGAACUGGUGAGUAACACGUGGGAAACCUGCCCAGAAGCGGGGGAUAACACCUGGAAACAGAUGCUAAUACCGCAUAACAACUUGGACCGCAUGGUCCGAGCUUGAAAGAUGGCUUCGGCUAUCACUUUUGGAUGGUCCCGCGGCGUAUUAGCUAGAUGGUGGGGUAACGGCUCACCAUGGCAAUGAUACGUAGCCGACCUGAGAGGGUAAUCGGCCACAUUGGGACUGAGACACGGCCCAAACUCCUACGGGAGGCAGCAGUAGGGAAUCUUCCACAAUGGACGAAAGUCUGAUGGAGCAACGCCGCGUGAGUGAAGAAGGGUUUCGGCUCGUAAAACUCUGUUGUUAAAGAAGAACAUA